RNAcentral lists this ribosomal RNA (253 nucleotides) under uncultured bacterium. Its description in RNAcentral is "partial 16S ribosomal RNA". It matches the Rfam family "Bacterial small subunit ribosomal RNA", at positions 524 to 776 of the family's 1533-position model. The record is from RNAcentral.
UACGUAGGCAGCAAGCGUUGUUCGGAGUUACUGGGCGUAAAGAGUGCGUAGGCGGUGUCGAAAGUUUGGCGCGAAAUCUCCCGGCUUAACUGGGAGGGUGCGCCGAAAACUGCGGUGCUGGAGUGUGGGAAAGGCAAGCGGAAUUCCUGGUGUAGCGGUGAAAUGCGUAGAUAUCAGGAGGAAUACCGAUGGCGAAGGCAGCCCCCUGGGUCGAUACUGACGCUCAUGCACGAAAGCGUGGGGAGCAAACAGG